This 254-nucleotide long non-coding RNA is filed under the name Marmota monax (woodchuck). Lineage: Eukaryota; Metazoa; Chordata; Mammalia; Rodentia; Sciuridae. The record is from RNAcentral.
GCUGCGUUCGACUGAUGGACUGAACGAGAUCAAUGUCCACUAUGGAGGUGUACAGAAUAUCUGCAAUAGACUGAAAACCUCCCCUGUGGAAGGUCUCUCCGGGAACCCUGCAGAUCUGGAGAAACGUAGAAUCGUGUUUGGACAGAAUUUAAUCCCCCCCAAAAAGCCCAAGACCUUCUUAGAAUUAGUGUGGGAAGCCCUUCAAGAUGUCACACUCAUCAUCCUGGAGAUUGCAGCCAUUAUCUCCCUGGUCC